UCUCUCUCUCAUGGCAAUGGCAGGUGCACUGGUGGAAGAGAGAAAAGGGGCUUCCUUUACCAACUCAUGGCAAAGGAAGGAGCACCAGUCCUGGUGCUGCUCCAGAUGGCAAAAUGGGCUGUAGUCAGAAACUCAGAGCAGCAGGCCAGAACAGCAGAGUUGAGCGCACCCCAAAACAGCAAACAAAGUGUAGCAAAAACUCCGAAGCCAUCGCAGGAGCCUCAGGGGUGGACACAGGGUGUCAGAUUGAAGUGUAGCAAAAAAAAUAAAGCAGCAUCUGAAAACAGCGGGUCUGGGCAGUGGCAUCUUGGCUCCCCAGCACUUCCCACUGGGAAGUGCUCCCUCCGGAAGUGGGAAGGGGUUGGGGUCCGGGGUUUUCCCCUGAGGCACGCAAGUAGAUGAUGAGUGUCCUUUCCAGUGAUGUCAAAUGUCAACAAGUUACCAGUUCAACAGGUGCUCUUAUGAGCAAAGCCUCGCUCACGGCAGGAGAAGCAGAAAAGGAUGGAACUCCAGCAGCAGUGAAUUCUGCCCACAGCAACAGCAGCACCAUAUCACCCCCAGAACAAAGAGCAAGAGAGAGUGAAGCUGAGUCCAGCCCCUCAGCCCCUAGCCAAAAUCUUGCAGUAUCCUCUACCCUUCCUAAAAGAAAGCCCCCCCAGGCAACAAAUAGGAGAAAAUUCCCUGAGUGAAAGAAAGAAAAAACGGGAAAAGUCCUAACCUCCAAUACUUGCGUAAGAGGUGAAGGGUCACAGUGCAGAGAAUUGCUUCGGAACAUCAUCAUUUUGAUCAUGAAUUGGAUAAUAAGUUCAACCUCCUAGAUGAUAAUAAUUGUGUCUAGUCUCAGAGUUCAGCAGGUUUCUUCUUGGUGAUCAAGAUAUUUCUACCAACGCCUUAGCCCCAGCUCCUCAAUGCAUUUUCUAUUUUCAAUACAAAUACAAGUGUGUGAUGUUUGCUAAAGCAACUUUGUAGGUGAUCACCUGAGAGAAGACCACAUGACUUUGGGGAGCUGCAGGACAUAAUACUGAUCAUAGGAAGAAAUGUAUGUAAAUAAAUCCAAACUACUUGUUUCAUCCCAGCAAAUGAAUAAUCCCACAGGAAAAGGAACAUCCAGAAACGUAUUCAGGGUAUAUUACAGGGUAUGUAAAGAAAUCUGGUUUAUGGUGACCCAGGUAAAAGAAAAAAGUCUUCAGGUCUUUUGUUUUAAACUCUGUUGUAGAUGGGCUUCUUUUAAUUCCACCUGAAUUAUCUGGAUGGUCUUUCAUGUAAUUAGUAUGUCAAACAUUACUGGUUCUUUAAAUUAACAAGAUUAGCUUGGAUAUAAUAUAUAAUAUAAUAUGGAUUAUAUUGACAUGAGAAAAACCUUUAUGAAAAUUUUAUAGGAAGAAAAACUCCCCAAAGAAAUACUUUCCCAGGCUCCUUUAGUUUCCAAGUUGAGUGUGUACUGGGAGGAGGCUUCAAAAUGAGUCAAAACAUGUACAAAACCAAUAAAAAAAUCAUCCUUUAGGGAAGUCUGAUUAUUGUUUCACUUUUGAUAAUUACUCAGACUUCUUUGUUGUUUUUAGUAUGACACACACCUCUUUUCUCCACUGAAAUUUCUAUGAACAUAAAACAAAAGAAUUUUCUGCAAAAGUUUCUACUAAAUAUUUCUCAAUGCUGGCCUCUCUAUAUUUCAUUAAAUGGUUGCCAUGACACAGGGCUUCCCUGGUUUUCCAGUCAAUACUGAGUGAAUUUAAAAACAUGAUGGAAAAUCAGAUCAUCUCAGUAAUUUUUGAAAUAAGUAGCCUGGAGCCUCACACAGACUUCUCAGGACUUCUUUUUUCCUCCCUUUUUUAUUAAUUAUCCUCUGGUGUGCCCUUUUUCUAAAUUUUAAGUCUGCUUUAAAUUUAUUCUGAAGUCUCUGGAUUAGGUUGAAUGGUGUUUAAAGAUUUGAUUUAGUUUUAAGAGUGUCUGUCAUAAUUUUGUUUUCUGUUUCUUUGAAUUUCCCACUGCCCCAUUAUGCAGUUCCCUGUUGCCCUAUUCAGCAAAGAACAACAUUACGGGUUAGAGAACACUGAAGAACUCCAAAGUUGGGGACUACAGUAUUUGAUAGUUCCUCACAGUUUUCUUUUUAAUCUGCUUUUUCCCUUGGGGUUUAUUUUCCCCCAGAACUUUUCCAAGAAAAUUAUUAUCCACAUUGAUUUGGAGAGAUUUUUAUUUGUGUCAAACAAACUUGUUUUUAAAGAGUCUUAAAAAAAAGAAAAAAUCAAGCUAUGCUAACAAAUACAGCCUUUGUGCAAUUUUUGUAGACAUGUGUUGUCUGUAAUCAGUGCUUUUACGUUAAUCAGAAAUAAAAAUCUGUUUAUGAUGCUGAGGGAAUUAAAGCUCUGAAGAGAUUGUUUUAGUUCUCUUUAUUUAUGAUGAUUUGUUAGCUCUUGACUGCAGAAAUAAUUUUGUUGCUUACAUUAAUCUGUGGUGACAGUAUUAACUUCACAUCAUACAUAAAUAUAAUUAUUGAUCAUUACCAGCUGUAAUUCAGUGUUAGAAUUACACAUUUACAUAAUUGUGCUAUUAGGUGUAAACUUGAAUUUCAUAUCUGGGGUCACAAAUAACUGGAGGCAGUAGAAACAGAAAACUCUGAUUAUAUGUCAUUCAUAUUUUAAUAUAUGCUGUUGCAAUUUUGAUCAAUGUUAAUGUAAAUAUUUUUAUGUACUAUACAGCAAUGAGAUGCUAAUGGCUAGAAAUUACAGCAAUAUUGAUCUAGCUAAUAAAAUGGAAUGCAUUAGUAAGAGAGGAUAUUUAUUAUUUCCUCCAAAAACUACUACACAUCAUCUACCCAUGGAAAAUUUCCUCCAUCAAAGAUUGAGAUGACAUUCUGGAAAUGGUGUAAAGCUCUUCUCAAAAAUCAGUCACAGGUUAUCUUGUCUUUUCUGCCAGCAGCUUUUUCACUGAUAAAGGUUCACAGCGAGAAACAAGCUAAAUAAAGGGAUUCACUUCUGUAAUACAUUCUCUUCUCCUCAUGUAAUCUGCACAUAAAAAGACACUCCAGAAAGAAC
Molecule: long non-coding RNA, 3032 nt
Organism: Passer domesticus (house sparrow)
Lineage: Eukaryota; Metazoa; Chordata; Aves; Passeriformes; Passeridae
Exons: 5
Source: RefSeq, a predicted model, not a curated record